Molecule: long non-coding RNA, 793 nt
Filed under: Physcomitrium patens
Lineage: Eukaryota; Viridiplantae; Streptophyta; Bryopsida; Funariales; Funariaceae
Description: long non-coding RNA (PPAT_LNC005924)
Source: RNAcentral
UUUGUAAGAGCUUUGCAAAUUCAAGAUUUGUUUUGGGUGACUCUAGAUUUGUGAAAUAAAAUGAGAGAUACUUUUUGGAGAAUUCCAUAAGUUUGGCGAUAGAUCUAUUAGUGAAUUUUUGAAAUUUUUUGGAUUUAUAUGUGUUCAAUAUAUACUAUAAGUUUGAACUUGAUUAAAGGGUUGGAUCGAAGAUUAUUGUGGUUUAAGUGGGUUGGGAUCUUGAAAAGUAGAGUUUUAGGCCUAGUGAGGAUUUCUAAGAUUUCAUGCAAUCUAUCAAUUGGAUUAGAGUAAAAAUUAUGUGUGUAGAUAAUAGACUUAUUUUCCUAUAUAUUUAAAAAAAUUUAAGAUCAAUUAAAUGGUUUGAUAAGGAGAUAUUAGUAUUGGAAAUUCAACAUUCAGAUUGGAGAAGGAGACCAGCCAACAUCUGAGCAAAUAUUAGGAUUGAUCUUCUUUUUGGUGACUUUGAUCUUCUUUAAAAAAAUUAUACUUGUUUUCAUCUUAAUUAUUAAGAGAUUUGCAAAAUUUUAAUUAAUAUCAAUAGUUCAUUCAUUAGUUAUUGAGGUUUAAAUUUAUUGUACGAAUUACUUCAGAUUAUUUAAGAUUUGAUUAGGAUUUAUUUAGGAUAUGGUUUUGGAUUUUAUUAGGAUUUAUUUAUAAUUUAUUUAAGAUAUAUAUAGGAUUUUAUUAAGAUUUGUUUAGGAUUUGUUUAGGAUUUGAUUAUGAUUUAUUUAGGAUUUAUUUAGGAUUUGGUUAAGAUUUGUCUAAGGUUUGAUUAGGAUUUGGUUAGGAUUUG